Molecule: ribosomal RNA, 253 nt
Filed under: uncultured bacterium
Lineage: Bacteria
Description: partial 16S ribosomal RNA
Rfam family: Bacterial small subunit ribosomal RNA
Source: RNAcentral
UACAGAGGUCUCAAGCGUUGUUCGGAUUCAUUGGGCUUAAAGGGUGCGUAGGUGGCGGGGUAAGUCAGGUGUGAAAUCUCGGAGCUCAACUCCGAAACUGCACUUGAUACUGCCUUGCUCGAGUACUGGAGAGGAGAUUGGAAUUUACGGUGUAGCAGUGAAAUGCGUAGAUAUCGUAAGGAAGACCAGUGGCGAAGGCGAAUCUCUGGACAGUUACUGACACUGAGGCACGAAGGCCAGGGGAGCAAACAGG